UGGAGAGCGUUUAAGGAGCAGCAUAAAUUGAGAACAGACAAGGAUGUGGCGGAUAUGCUUCUUGACAGCUAUCUUGCGAUGAAUCGUAUAGUUUGUUAAAACCUCAACGCCAAGCGCGCACUCAAAUCCGCGUCCAUUGUCUGCUUUGUCGGAUGUUAGAACAUCAUAUUCUAUCAGGUCGGGUCAGAGUGUGAUUUCUGACAGUCGAACAUUGACAGCCAAAGAUGAUAGUUCUGAUGAUGAAAGUGAUGAUGAUAAUGACAAUUUUGGUGAACACACUAUCCAGGCAGACCAGGUUUUGUCGGACGAUUCUCUUGAUGUAUGUCCCCCGGGUUUUGACGUGCCAUUACUGGAUGACUUGCUCAAUGUGACAAUCCGUGGACAUGAUGGAGAUGAGCCCACAGAAGAUGUUGGAACCCAACAACAACAACAGCAGCAACAUAAGACGACUCAACCAGAAUACAUCUCUACUGUGGAAGAAGUCAGUCCUGAAGAUGCAAUCAGAAGGAAAAGUGUAUUGUGUUUACAGACACUCUUAUAACUUUGAUAACAUCAUUACAUGGGAGUGUUUGUAAACGACAAGGAUGUGGCCGUGUGUUGAGCUAUAAGAAAACAUAUGUUGGAACAUGCCUGGUCGUAUC
Long non-coding RNA from Dendronephthya gigantea, 641 nucleotides. RefSeq lists it as uncharacterized. The transcript has 4 exons. The record is from RefSeq and is a predicted model, not a curated record. Lineage: Eukaryota; Metazoa; Cnidaria; Anthozoa; Malacalcyonacea; Nephtheidae.